Molecule: unclassified non-coding RNA, 476 nt
Filed under: Hevea brasiliensis (rubber tree)
Lineage: Eukaryota; Viridiplantae; Streptophyta; Magnoliopsida; Malpighiales; Euphorbiaceae
Source: RNAcentral
UGUUGAAUGUGAGAAAACAAACUUGCAAAUUUUAACCUCAGUAAAAAGGACAAGUUUCUAAUUAAAACGUGUACAGGGGAGAGCACAUGAUAAUGCAUGAUUCUGUAACCCAUCUGCUGGAUGUCCUCUGGCAGCGAGAGCAGGCCAUGCAUUAAUGCAUGCGCAGGACUGACUAGGACUACUGAAUACUUGGUAAAAUUUUGAGUGAUACUCCCAGUAAAACAUAAAAUCACAUCAGGGUUAUGAGUACUAUCGUAGCCAGAUUAGCAGUUCAAAAAAUCGUAGCCAGACUAGGAGGUAAAAUGAGAUUGGAAAGGAAAAUGAAGGGGAAGGAACGGAGGGUGACGAUAAGGUGCUACAAUUAGAGACUACAAGAUUAAAUGUACAAUGAACUAAUAUUAGGAUUAAUGGCUCAAAAGUUGCAUGUAAGGUAGAUCCUAGUAAACUACAAUUCUUCUUUCAGAUGCUCAGUAGUA